AGUGAACGCUGGCGGUAGGCCUAACACAUGCAAGUCGAACGGCAGCACAGUAAGAGCUUGCUCUUACGGGUGGCGAGUGGCGGACGGGUGAGGAAUACAUCGGAAUCUACUUUUUCGUGGGGGAUAACGUAGGGAAACUUACGCUAAUACCGCAUACGACCUACGGGUGAAAGCAGGGGAUCUUCGGACCUUGCGCGAUUGAAUGAGGCGAUGUCGGAUUAGCUAGUUGGCGGGGUAAAGGCCCACCAAGGCGACGAUCCGUAGCUGGUCUGAGAGGAUGAUCAGCCACACUGGAACUGAGACACGGUCCAGACUCCUACGGGAGGCAGCAGUGGGGAAUAUUGGACAAUGGGCGCAAGCCUGAUCCAGCCAUACCGCGUGGGUGAAGAAGGCCUUCGGGUUGUAAAGCCCUUUUGUUGGGAAAGAAAAGCAGCAGGUUAAAACCCCGCUGUUCUGACGGUACCCAAAGAAUAAGCACCGGCUAACUUCGUG
RNAcentral lists this ribosomal RNA (492 nucleotides) under uncultured bacterium. RNAcentral describes it as "partial 16S ribosomal RNA". It matches the Rfam family "Bacterial small subunit ribosomal RNA", at positions 29 to 507 of the family's 1533-position model. The record is from RNAcentral.